Molecule: long non-coding RNA, 1058 nt
Filed under: Homo sapiens (human)
Lineage: Eukaryota; Metazoa; Chordata; Mammalia; Primates; Hominidae
Description: HSALNT0361128
Source: RNAcentral
UUCACCCCUGUCCCAUCUGACAGGUCUUCUGUAAGAGGAUUGAGGUGUGCAUGAGAAGAUAUUAGAAGACUUUAGCUGCCAGAGAAGAUAAUUUGGAAAUCAUCUGCUCCGCCAUUAAUAGAGAGACAGAAUAUCACUGGUGAAAGAGAAAUCACAAUGGGAUCUGAUGGAGAAGGCCACACACAUCUGUAGGUCUUGGAUUUUUUGCUGCAUAGAGUAAUCAGAUGAGAGCUUGGGUGGUCUCCCUUGAUAAGGAGAUGACAUUUGUGGAUCAAUCCUCCUAUCUGCUUCCAGUCAUCACACAUUAGCCUUUUACUCAUGAAGAGUCAAAGCUCUACUGCCUGAAUGAGCCCAGGACACUUGCCUCCACCCAUCCAGUGUUAUCACCUAGGCUCUAACUCUGUUAAAGUCCAUUUCUUCACUACUGAACAUUGGAAAAUGGGUGUGGACGAGUGAGAAAGUCUGGAACAGGAGGAAAAGAAAAGGGAACAGAUUCCUAGAUGUUCCAGCAAGUGGAAACACAGUUGGGAAAACAUGGCUUGGGAAGCAGAGACUUGGAGGAGGAGGAACUGUGUCCCUGGGGAAACCCGUCUUAUUGUGCUCCAACAGACAUCAAAGCCUGGAAGAUACCUGAACUAGAAAAUGGGAAGAAAAUUAUUCUCCUGGUGGCUUUUGUAAAUUCGUUUGUAUUCGGUGUAAUUGUCACCUGCUGCUUCGGUGGAACUCCCUGUCCCUUUCUGUUGGGCAGAAGGAAUGGGCCCAUCCGUAAUAGAUACGGAGAGGAAAACAAAGUGAUGACAACUCAGUGGGCAAGCAGGGCAAGAGCUGUUUCUGCAGAGAGCUUAGUAGCACAGCCCUAUUCACUUUUGCUGGGAUGUAUGCGUCUGGGACAUAAUGGGGCUGUGCAGAGAUAGCACUGGAACAGACUGAUAACCAAAACUGAAAUUUCAAAAGGGAGGCUACAAUCGAGCCAAUAAAAAGUGAAAGGGCUGCUUUAUAAUUCCCAGUUCUCCCAUUCUUAUUUUUUUCUGUUUUCCACAGGUUCCAAGCUGAAGAGU